This 388-nucleotide ribosomal RNA is filed under the name uncultured Anaerolineaceae bacterium. RNAcentral's name for it is "bacterial SSU rRNA". It matches the Rfam family "Bacterial small subunit ribosomal RNA", at positions 983 to 1382 of the family's 1533-position model. The record is from RNAcentral. Lineage: Bacteria; Bacillati; Chloroflexota; Anaerolineae; Anaerolineales; Anaerolineaceae.
GACAUUAUAGGUUGUAGGGAACUGAAAAGGGACCGACCUUCGGGGAGCCUAUACAGGUGUUGCAUGGCUGUCGUUAGCUCGUGUCGUGGAGAUGUUCGGUUAAGUCCGCUAACGAGCGCAACCCUCGUCGUAUGUUAUAUGUGUCAUACGAGACUGCCGGUAAAAAGCCGGAGGAAGGUGAGGAUGAUGUCAAGUCAGCAUGACCUUUAUAUCCAGGGCUACACACACGCUACAAUGGUCUGUACAAUGGGUAGCCAAGCCGCGAGGCGGAGCCAAUCCUCCAAAACCGGCCUCAGUUCAGAUUGUAGGCUGCAACUCGCCUGCAUGAAGUUGGAGUUGCUAGUAACCGCGCGUCAGCUAUAGUGCGGUGAAUACGUUCCCGGGGCUU